Molecule: ribosomal RNA, 475 nt
Filed under: uncultured bacterium
Lineage: Bacteria
Description: partial 16S ribosomal RNA
Rfam family: Bacterial small subunit ribosomal RNA
Source: RNAcentral
GAUGAACGCUAGCGGCAGGCCUAACACAUGCAAGUCGAGGGAUAAGCCUUCGGGCUAAGUCCGGCGCACGGGUGCGUAACGCGUAUACAAUCUGCCUUUUAUCCGGCGGAUAGCCCGAAGAAAUUUGGAUUAAUACCCUAUGGUAUAAGAGCACGGCAUCGUGCCCUUAUUAAAGCUACGGCGGUAAAAGAUGAGUAUGCGUUCUAUUUGCUUGUUGGAGAGGUAACGGCUCCCCAAGGCGACGAUAGAUAGGGGUUCUGAGAGGGAUGUCCCCCACACUGGUACUGAGAUACAGACCAGACUCCUACGGGAGGCAGCAGUGAGGAAUAUUAGACACUGGUCGGAAGACUGAUCCAGCCAUGCCGCGUGCAGGAUGACGGCCUUAGGGGUUGUAAACUGCUUUUGAAAGAGAAGAAUAAGGAGUACGUGUACUUUGAUGACGGUACCUUACGAAUAAGCAUCGGCUAACUCCGUG